Molecule: long non-coding RNA, 511 nt
Organism: Oncorhynchus tshawytscha (Chinook salmon)
Lineage: Eukaryota; Metazoa; Chordata; Actinopteri; Salmoniformes; Salmonidae
Source: Ensembl
UUCCGAUGUCAGAAUGGUUCAGAUAAUAACUACAGAAGGAAGCCAACAUUAGCAUGAGCUUUGGUUGCGAAUGGUAUGAACCUUGAACUCUUAUUCAUUACAGAAGUGAUACCUCCUAGCCGUUGAGUCAGCAACAGCAGCUGCAAACGAGGGUUAGGAAGGAACAGACAGAGUAUUCCGUCUACCACACAACGACGUUACUACAACGUAUCCAAUUUACCAGCAGAGACAUUCUUCAAAGGACAAAGGACUCGAUUUGGCAACACGGCCUUCCAUCUUCCACCAACCUACCGAAGCACAGCUCAGAGGCUGGAUCUGAUGUGGGAUGAAUCUAGAGAUCAGGAUUCUGGUGUUCCUGCCAGUAUCGUAUUCAUGCUACCAGCUGGAUCCCACCAGAUGUGUCUAUAACAAAUCAUAAACACAGCCAUUGACUGCUGGUUCAGAUUCAUAAACCUAGCAAUUGACUGCUGGUUGACUGCUGCUCAGAUCCCUAUAGUGGAGGGAUUAACUG